This 402-nucleotide ribosomal RNA is filed under the name bacterium. Its description in RNAcentral is "partial 16S ribosomal RNA". It matches the Rfam family "Bacterial small subunit ribosomal RNA", at positions 355 to 776 of the family's 1533-position model. The record is from RNAcentral.
UGGGGAAUUUUGCACAAUGGGGGAAACCCUGAUGCAGCGACGCCGCGUUAUUUAGAAGGCCUUCGGGUUGUAAAAAUCUUUUCUAUGGGAAGAAAAUGACAGUACCAUAGGAAUAAGGACCGGCUAAUUACGUGCCAGCAGCCGCGGUAAUACGUAAGGUCCGAGCGUUGUCCGGAAUCAUUGGGCGUAAAGGGUACGUAGGCGGGUAAGCAAGUUGGAAGUGAAAUCCUAUAGCUCAACUAUAGUAAGCUUUUAAAACCGCUCAGGUUGGGGUAUGGAAGGGGAAGGGGCAUUUCUAGUGUAGCGGUGAAAUGCGCAAAUAUUAGGAGGAAUACCGGUGGCGAAGGCGACUUUCUGGCCAUAACCUGACGCUGAGGUACGAAAGCGUGGGUAGCAAACAGG